Molecule: ribosomal RNA, 398 nt
Filed under: Acinetobacter sp. SK2
Lineage: Bacteria; Pseudomonadati; Pseudomonadota; Gammaproteobacteria; Moraxellales; Moraxellaceae
Description: bacterial SSU rRNA
Rfam family: Bacterial small subunit ribosomal RNA (bases 1-259)
Source: RNAcentral
UAUUCUACGGCGGACGGGUGAGUAAUGCUUAGGAAUCUGCCUAUUAGUGGGGGACAACAUUCCGAAAGGAAUGCUAAUACCGCAUACGUCCUACGGGAGAAAGCAGGGGAUCUUCGGACCUUGCGCUAAUAGAUGAGCCUAACGUCGGAUUAGCUAGUUGGUGGGGUAAAGGCCUACCAAGGCGACGAUCUGUAGCGGGUCUGAGAGGAUGAUCCGCCACCCUGGGACUGAGACACGGCCCAGACUCCUACGGGAGGCAAGGGAGAUGGUGGAGAGUAAGUAAGUGAUCAAAUAGUGGCUGGAAGCCUAGAAUCCAGACCAAUGCCCCGGGUGUGUUGAAGGAAAGUGGCACAUUUGCUGGGUUAGGUCAAGGCCACCAUUUAAAGCGCAAGAUGAAC